This 544-nucleotide ribosomal RNA is filed under the name uncultured bacterium. RNAcentral describes it as "partial 16S ribosomal RNA". It matches the Rfam family "Bacterial small subunit ribosomal RNA", at positions 355 to 891 of the family's 1533-position model. The record is from RNAcentral.
UGGGGAAUUUUGGACAAUGGGCGCAAGCCUGAUCCAGCCAUGCCGCGUGCGGGAAGAAGGCCUUCGGGUUGUAAACCGCUUUUGUCAGGGAAGAAAUCUUCUGAGUUAAUACCUCGGGAGGAUGACGGUACCCGAAGAAUAAGCACCGGCUAACUACGUGCCAGCAGCCGCGGUAAUACGUAGGGUGCAAGCGUUAAUCGGAAUUACUGGGCGUAAAGCGUGCGCAGGCGGUUUUGUAAGACAGAGGUGAAAUCCCCGGGCUCAACCUGGGAACUGCCUUUGUGACUGCAAGGCUUGAGUGCGGCAGAGGGGGAUGGAAUUCCGCGUGUAGCAGUGAAAUGCGUAGAUAUGCGGAGGAACACCGAUGGCGAAGGCAAUCCCCUGGGCCUGCACUGACGCUCAUGCACGAAAGCGUGGGGAGCAAACAGGAUUAGAUAGCCCUGGUAGUCCACGCCCUAAACGAUGUCAACUGGUUGUUGGGAAGGUUCCUUCUCAGUAACGUAGCUAACGCGUGAAGUUGACCGCCUGGGGAGUACGGCCGCAA